Molecule: long non-coding RNA, 929 nt
Organism: Stylophora pistillata
Lineage: Eukaryota; Metazoa; Cnidaria; Anthozoa; Scleractinia; Pocilloporidae
Source: RefSeq, a predicted model, not a curated record
GAGUUCAUUGUGCUGUUAUGGUCCUUGAACUAUAGAGGGCAGUAAGACGGUAUACGUGUAUUAAGCACUUCGAGAUGGUUCCUCCUAGACGUUGUCUUCUUGGGGCUUAUUCAGUUGGAUCUACUGAACUUCCUGAUAUUCUUCAGCUUUACUGAGCACCAGCUUCGUGGGUUCCGGGGUAGAGGAUGUGAUUUCUUAUCAUUUUCCAAAUCGUUAAUCGCUCAAGGUUGUUGUCAAAUUAUUUGGAAGCAUGCCCAAAUCAACACUACAAAUAAACUUUACAGAUAAAUAUGUGGAAUAUGCAAAAAUAUUUAAAGUUACUCAGUCGAUCUGAUUUGAAAUUUGCUUCGUUUAAUCCCUCAAAUCGUUCCACGGUCCCCUUCAGAACAUAGAAUUUUACACAGCAAGUUGCUCUCUUCAUUUAUACAGGUCAGCCACAAACUUUCGAUAACAGUUGACUGUUUUCAUGACAAGACAUAAAAGUGUGGGCGGAUCGAUGUAAGUAUCUGCACAACUCCGCAAUCGUCCCUCCCCCAACCUAACCGAGGGAUUAAACCUGACUUCUUUUGAGUGGAUUUGUUACGACUUGACUGCUGUUGGUUCAGGGGAGGGACAGCCACAAACCUUGGAUAACAUAGGUUAGCCUUCAAACAUACAACUGUGGGCAAAUCAAUGCAAGUAUUUGGACAACUACGCUCCGGACUUGCUAUCAGUUGCCUGUUGUUGGGCUAAGGGAAGGGCAUAGAUGCGCAAUUGCUCAGAUAUUGACUUUUAUCUGUGUUGGCGAAGUGCCACGAAGUCUCCGUUGGUUUAAAGCACAAUUAGGAUAUGGGAUUUGUCGAGCACUAUACUGAGGGAAGGUAUGGAGCAGUUGUGCAUUAGUCUCUACCUCCCACUGUUGUGACCUGGGUUUGAUUCCUAAAACUGGC